RNAcentral lists this microRNA (22 nucleotides) under Capitella teleta. RNAcentral describes it as "cte-miR-745a". Its record names the gene cte-miR-745a. The record is from miRBase by way of RNAcentral. Lineage: Eukaryota; Metazoa; Annelida; Polychaeta; Capitellidae.
AGCUGCCUGGUAAAGAGCUGUC